AUGGACCAUGAGACAAAACAUUUCACUUUUCAAUAAAGGCUGGAGUUCUGCCUUCAUUCAUAAAUCAGCCUCGCAAUUAGGAGAAAGCAAUUAGGUCUGUAAUAAAAUCCUCCUCUUUCUGACAAGGUUUUUGAGAUAAAUGAACCAAGGACGAAGAAGCAUCGUAUCUUGGUUAUAAAAUCGUCUAGGGAUAGAGGGACCCUUGAGUGAGGAGUCUCCUUGGACAGUCAGGAGUCCAAGGGCAAGGCCAGCAGAGGUGUUGCCCCGAAGCUCUGCCUCUUUCUCGCAGGAGCCACCCACCAUGAGCACAUCCUCAGCUCCUAGGAACAGAGCUGUGGCUGGGGAACCAUCCUGAAAGCAUGAAGCCUAGAAGUCAGGGUGUGCCUGUGUGGCAUGGCACUGACUGACAUUCGUCUUUUCUUUUUAAUUGUUCCUUCGAUAUUUGCAUGUCUUUUUAAGACUAUGAUGUUAAAGCGUGUGUUAACAAUGUGAGUGAAUUUAGGUAAAUCAAAGUAUUGAACAUCUGUCAGUUGAGCUUAACCAAUAGGAACAUUUUUCAACAGACUCAGGGCUACCAUGGAUACACUGGUAGCCUUCCUGGCCACUUUUUAAAUCAAUCAAUCAAUCAAUCAAUCAAUCAAUCUCUCUCUCUCUCUCUCUCUCUCUCUCUCUCUCUCUCUCUCUCUCUCCUUCCCUCCAUCCCCCAUCCCUCCUUUCCUUACCUCCUUCCUUUCCUCCCUCCCUUCUUUCUUCACAAGUUCUCGUGUAGCCCAGGCAGGCCUUGAACUCAAUAUAUAGACAAGGCUGUCCUUGAACUCCUGAUCCUUCUGACUCUACCUCCCAAGCACUGGGAUUACAGGUAUGUGUCAUGUUACAGAUUUCUUUUGUCCUCCUAAAAGGAAGGGUAACUCUCAUCCUCUCUAAGACUGCACAGGUUGUCCCACUACCUUCUCAGCAUAAACUUGCCUUUGUUGGCCAUUUAACACUGAAAGGCAUCAGACCUCAGUCCUGGGAGGGGAGUACCUCUCCCUCCUGACCAUAUUAUCCCAUUUCUAAACAGAGGUUGCUUUGUGGCCUGACCUCUCCUUCCCUCCAGGUCUCUCUCUCGUGUUUACUGGUGUGAUGUGUGCCCCUUCAUGGAACAGACCUCUGUGUUAUUUCACUGCUCCAGAAUCUUCUUUCUCACUCUAGGUUUAGGACCAUUAACACAGUCAGCCAGUCUUUGAGAAGUGUAUUUCUGUGGCUACCCACAUAUCAUGCCCUGGUUCUUCCUCUCUUUAUGAUGCCUCCUCCUCUGUCUGGCGUCUUGUCUGUAGCGUCUGAGUACUGAGAGACCUCAGAAUGUAUAAUUUCUCUGUAGUGUCUGAGUCCUCAGAGACCUCAGGAUGUAUCCUUUCUCUGUAGCAUCUGAGUACUGAGAGACCUUACGAUGUAUGCAGCAUGUAUCCUAUCUCUUUCCUACAUGACUCUCUCUGGUCACUUAACAUUAACUCCCAAAUGUUCCCCUCCAGACCAGUUUCUCUUUCUUGAUCUGGACUUCUUUAUUGACUGUCCGGACCCAUGGGAACUUAUGCCAUCUCUGAACUGCCAUUUCUCACAAACUCUGCAUCAGAGCCAAAACCUUAAUACCACUGGCUGGUGUCCAUAGUCUCUUGCCUCAAUGUUUUAGAUGCAGCAAUUAUCUGGAGCCCAUUUUCCUUAGAGCAGUCAGAGGACUAUUGAAGUCAGGGUGAGGACAAAGCAAAUGCUGAACUGCUAUUUAAAUGUUCACAGCCCAAAUGGGAAUGGUUUAACAUUACUUUUCCCUUUAAUUACACUUUAAUUAAUUUAGCCAAUUUUAGUCUGUUAGUACAUAAAUAUCACCACUCACAAGACUAAAUAUAUUAGCCUAGCGUAGAAUAUGUCAUCUUAACUAUUGGCUGUUGACCUUAUACCUCAAUACUGAUCCUUUAUAGCUGUUUCAACUUUAAAAUAUUUUGACCUUGUUUCUGUCUGCAUGUGAAUAUUACCAGAUUUCUAGCACCAUUUUUAAUGAGUAAAAGAAGAAAAACUGACUAGAUCAUUUGUAUCUUUAGUAUUGUUAAUUUUAUGACACCAUAAUUUUAUCUAACUAGACUAAUUUUAUGUAGACUGAAUGGUAUUUUGUGAUGUGUCCUCAUUACCAAAAUGCCAAGGUUAAAAUAUUCUAUAAUUUUAAUUGCUCUUCUGUCCCACUCAAUCAUGAUGUCAGUGUUAGCUGUAACUGUACC
This 2249-nucleotide long non-coding RNA is filed under the name Mus musculus (house mouse). Its description in RNAcentral is "long non-coding RNA chr3:154139096-154141345". The record is from RNAcentral. Lineage: Eukaryota; Metazoa; Chordata; Mammalia; Rodentia; Muridae.